AGAUGACUUCCCUUAAGAAAAAGGUCAGGCUAGCCAACUCCAAAAAGGUUAGGCCAGAUGGUUGUUUUUUUUCUUUCUUUUUUUCCUUCCAAUUUAGCUUCUUAUUUUUGGUUGUUGGAUGUGAUUGAUGUAAUAUAUUGCAAAUCUUAGAGGAUGUUGAGAAGAGGUUGAGAGAGCUUAUGAGGAGGUUAGCAUCCUAUGAGAAAAGGCGGCC
Molecule: long non-coding RNA, 214 nt
Filed under: Elaeis guineensis (African oil palm)
Lineage: Eukaryota; Viridiplantae; Streptophyta; Magnoliopsida; Arecales; Arecaceae
Description: long non-coding RNA (EGUI_LNC029843)
Source: RNAcentral